CAGUCGCCGCGGGAAUACGGAGGGAGCUAGCGUUGUUCGGAAUUACUGGGCGUAAAGCGCACGUAGGCGGUUAUUCAAGUCAGAGGUGAAAGCCCGGGGCUCAACCCCGGAACUGCCUUUGAAACUAGAUGACUGGAAUCUUGGAGAGGUCAGUGGAAUUCCGAGUGUAGAGGUGAAAUUCGUAGAUAUUAGGAAGAACACCAGUGGCGAAGGCGACUGACUGGACAAGUAUUGACGCUGAGGUGCGAAAGCGUGGGGAGCAAACAGGAUUAGAUACCCCCGUAGUCCCUGUCUCUUAUAC
This 301-nucleotide ribosomal RNA is filed under the name uncultured bacterium. RNAcentral describes it as "partial 16S ribosomal RNA". It matches the Rfam family "Bacterial small subunit ribosomal RNA", at positions 509 to 807 of the family's 1533-position model. The record is from RNAcentral.